AAGUUUAGAAAGAAAAUAUGCCUUUAAAAAAAAUUAAUUUUUAUAUGUCUGACAUAUCUAAUAUGAGCCCCGUCUCUCCUUGUCUCAGGUCGUGGAGCAGAUGAACGUUAAUAAAUUCUGGGAAGUCCUGACUAUGCUUCACCCCGAGAUUCUUUUGCGUAUCUCUCCCAGUGAUGUGCUGUACCUCUCCCAGAAGAUUGAAAUGGACCUGAGUCCACUGGGUGGCACUCACUUUGUAAAAGGCGAUGCAACAGAGGUCAUGUUGUCUAUUGCCACCAACUACGUGAAAAUGUCAAGUUUGUUGCUGGAACCCCACGUGGCUGCACAUUGGAUGGGCAGCACUGAAGAUGGGGUCAGUGUGGGGCCAUUUACUGUCAUUAGGAGCAUCGAUCGUCUCUCUGAAGCUCUUGCAGAUGUGCUUUUUGCUGAGCAAAGAGGAUUCACUCUUUCUACCAAGAACAUAGAUGUGUUCCUAAAAUGGCAGAAUCUAUCUGAAGAGAUCUGUAGUCAGGUAUUCAAGACAUCUGACUCUGGUAGUGGUCAGGAUGAGCUACUGAUCCCAGACACUGAGCUUCAGAGAAUAACUACGCUAGGUAAGAAAUUGGUAAAAAGCAUUUAAACAAAGAUCAAAGGUAGUUAGAUAGUUAGGUAGUAGAUUCACUACCUAUAACGUCAGUAAAACGUUACUAACUACUACAGGUUGUUACAUAUUUGAAAUCUGCUGAAUGUUAUGGCUUCUUAAGUAAACUAAGGAUUUCAUAUCAGUGAGCAAUCAAAAGAAAUGUAUCUCUCUUGCUUAUUUCUGUCCUCAGGAUAUGACGAAGUGAUGUUUGUUCAUACCCAUUACAGCCAUUUGAAUGAGCUCCUGUCUGUAUCACGAGAGCCACAGACUCAACAGGACAUAACAAAAAGGUUGGAUGUAGGCUUGUAUUCAAACUUGGAUGCAGCAAACAUUUUAAUAGUCUUUAGUUUUAAGAGCCAAACUCUUUAAAUAUUGUCAAAAAAAACUGAACCGUGCACUUUUUAAAAUGGGGAUUUUGAUCGUUUGAAAAGUUAAUUGCCGUAGGAAAGAUUUUAAUGUUACUCUUAUUUGUAGUGUUUACCACCAUGUGCAUCUGUUAGGGAUAAUUCUUGUUCUUCCUAGAACCCCUCCACGUCACCUUGCUUCUGGUGUCAUAUCAGCUGCCGUCCGCGUUGCCUCCAAGGCCCAAAGUGUCCCUGUGGCUGUACAGUACACCCUUUCCUCAUCAAACUUGGUACAGCCCAUUGUUUCAAACCAUUUCUUUGCUCUGUUGCUCAAGACUAGUAGCCAUGUUUUUCUUAAGUCGCUGUCCUCUGAUAAACUCUGCAAGAAGAGCAUGUCACCAGAGAGGAAUUCUUCCUGCUAACAUCCCGUGGCGUUUGUCCAUCUAAUUUCUGGCUGACUGUAGUCCAGAGUAAUAUAUCAGAUAGACGUAGAAAGACUAGGAAGUCCCCAGCAAACAUGUGUUUUUGAUUGUAGGUGGAGUAUUCACAUCGAGCUUCUCCACUUUGUGCAUUUUGGAAUUUCAGCCUCAUGUAAGUUUGACCAACAGCACAAACUAACAGUGGUAUGAAAUGUUUGGAUAUAGUGCAUACAC
Long non-coding RNA from Betta splendens (Siamese fighting fish), 1619 nucleotides. The record is from Ensembl. NCBI's taxonomy places the organism in Eukaryota, Metazoa, Chordata, Actinopteri, Anabantiformes, Osphronemidae.